This 73-nucleotide transfer RNA is filed under the name Fukomys damarensis (Damara mole-rat). It matches the Rfam family "tRNA". Rfam says of the family: Transfer RNA (tRNA) molecules are approximately 80 nucleotides in length. Their secondary structure includes four short double-helical elements and three loops (D, anti-codon, and T loops). The record is from Rfam by way of RNAcentral. Lineage: Eukaryota; Metazoa; Chordata; Mammalia; Rodentia; Bathyergidae.
GGGGAUUUAGCUCAGUGGUUCCAGUGGCUGCUUCGUAAGCACAAGGACCCGAGUUCGAUACCUGGAAUACCCC